UGGGGAAUUUUGGACAAUGGGGGAAACCCUGAUCCAGCCAUCCCGCGUGUGCGAUGAAGGCCUUCGGGUUGUAAAGCACUUUUGGCAGGAAAGAAACGUCGCGGGUUAAUACCCCGCGAAACUGACGGUACCUGCAGAAUAAGCACCGGCUAACUACGUGCCAGCAGCCGCGGUAAUACGUAGGGUGCAAGCGUUAAUCGGAAUUACUGGGCGUAAAGCGUGCGCAGGCGGUUCGGAAAGAAAGAUGUGAAAUCCCAGAGCUUAACUUUGGAACUGCAUUUUUAACUACCGGGCUAGAGUGUGUCAGAGGGAGGUGGAAUUCCGCGUGUAGCAGUGAAAUGCGUAGAUAUGCGGAGGAACACCGAUGGCGAAGGCAGCCUCCUGGGAUAACACUGACGCUCAUGCACGAAAGCGUGGGGAGCAAACAGGAUUAGAUACCCUGGUAGUCCACGCCCUAAACGAUG
Molecule: ribosomal RNA, 464 nt
Filed under: uncultured bacterium
Lineage: Bacteria
Description: partial 16S ribosomal RNA
Rfam family: Bacterial small subunit ribosomal RNA
Source: RNAcentral